AAAUGAUCGUUUAGGUCCGUGUUGUAGUUUUAGCUUUAAUGAUGUAUUUACAUGUAUACUAAUGUGAGAGGAUACAGGAUUUAUGAUAAGGUUUUUGAGAUUCUCAGUAAGUUGUAUUGGAUGUUAAAUGGAAGUUUUAUCCAGGUAAUUGUUUAGGAGCGGAAGAUGGCGUGCCAGCAGCCGCGGUUAUACGCAUGCUUCGAGUUAAAAUUGUUAUACAAAACUUUAUUUUGAUUGAUUGGUUAAGAGUUUGUUUUUAUUAUUGGGUAGAAUUUUAAUUUUAGAUUAUGAUUAUGGGGUCAAAGUGAAAUAAGAAUAUUAUGGACCAGGAUUAGAUACCCUGUUACUUGUUUUAAAUUAGUUUUGGAAUAUUAGUGUUUAUGAAAUUUAACGGAUUUGGCGGCAAGAUAGCCCAUUUAGAGGAACCUGCCCUGUAAACGAUGGUCCACGAGAUACCUUGCUUUUAUUAGUCGUCAGUUUGUAUACCGCUGUUGUCAGUCAGUUUCUUUAGAGAGUUGUCAAGAAUGAGAUAUUCAUUAACUUCAAGUAAAGGUGCAGCUUAUGUAUAAGUAAGAGGUGGGUUACAAUUAAUAGGAAUAAUCACGGAUGGUAAAAUGAAAAAUUACUUGAAGGUGGAUUUAAUUGUAAAAAUUAAAAAGUUUUGAUAUGAGCACUAUUUUGUGUACACACCGCCCGUCGCUCUCUUUUUUAAAAGGGAUAAGUCGUAACAAGGUAAGUGUAAUGGAAAUUGUACUUG
Molecule: non-coding RNA, 757 nt
Filed under: Eochionelasmus coreana
Lineage: Eukaryota; Metazoa; Arthropoda; Thecostraca; Balanomorpha; Pachylasmatidae
Source: RNAcentral